This 521-nucleotide ribosomal RNA is filed under the name uncultured bacterium. Its description in RNAcentral is "bacterial SSU rRNA". It matches the Rfam family "Archaeal small subunit ribosomal RNA", at positions 345 to 866 of the family's 1478-position model. The record is from RNAcentral.
AACCUCCGCAAUGUGAGAAAUCGCGACGGGGGGAUCCCAAGUGCCAUUCUUAACGGGAUGGCUUUUCAUUAGUGUAAAAAGUUGUUAGUAAGAAGGCUGGGCAAGACCGGUGCCAGCCGCCGCGGUAACACCGGCAGCUCUAGUGGUAGCAAUUUUUAUUGGGCCUAAAGCGUCCGUAGCCGGUUUAAUAAGUCUCUGGUGAAAUCCUGUAGCUUAACUGUGGGAAUUGCUGGAGAUACUAUUAGACUUGAGACCGGGAGAGGUUAGAGGUACUCCCAGGGUAGAGGUGAAAUUCUGUAAUCCUGGGAGGACCGCCUGUUGCGAAGGCGUCUAACUGGAACGGUUCUGACGGUGAGGGACGAAAGUUAGGGGCGCGAACCGGAUUAGAUACCCGGGUAGUCCUAACUGUAAACGAUGCGGACUUGGUGUUGGGGUGGCUUUGAGCUGCUCCAGUGCCGAAGGGAAGCUGUUAAGUCCGCCGCCUGGGAAGUACGGUCGCAAGACUGAAACUUAAAGGAAGU